Molecule: ribosomal RNA, 452 nt
Filed under: uncultured bacterium
Lineage: Bacteria
Description: bacterial SSU rRNA
Rfam family: Bacterial small subunit ribosomal RNA
Source: RNAcentral
GGCAGCAGUGGGGAAUAUUGCACAAUGGGCGCAAGCCUGAUGCAGCCAUGCCGCGUGUAUGAAGAAGGCCUUCGGUUGUAAAGUACUUUCAGCAGUGAGGAAGGUGGGUAUGUUAAUAGCAUAUUCAUUUGACGUUAGCUGCAGAAGAAGCACCGGCUAACUCCGUGCCAGCAGCCGCGGUAAUACGGAGGGUGCGAGCGUUAAUCGGAAUUACUGGGCGUAAAGCGCAUGCAGGUGGUUUGUUAAGUCAGAUGUGAAAGCCCGGGGCUCAACCUCGGAAUUGCAUUUGAAACUGGCAAACUAGAGUACUGUAGAGGGGGUAGAAUUUCAGGUGUAGCGGUGAAAUGCGUAGAGAUCUGAAGGAAUACCGGUGGCGAAGGCGGCCCCCUGGACAGAUACUGACACUCAGAUGCGAAAGCGUGGGGAGCAAACAGGAUUAGAUACCCUGGUAG